Molecule: ribosomal RNA, 761 nt
Filed under: uncultured bacterium
Lineage: Bacteria
Description: bacterial SSU rRNA
Rfam family: Bacterial small subunit ribosomal RNA
Source: RNAcentral
GCUCAGGACGAACGUNGGCGGCGUGUCUAAGGCAUGCAAGUCGAGCGGAUCGCAUUCCGUAGCAAUACGGGGCGCGGUUAGCGGCAAACGGGUGCGUAACACAUUGGUCAUCUACCCUCCAGUCGGGCACAACCCCGCGAAAGCGGGGCUAAUUCCACGAUGGACUCCGAUGCAACAUUCGGAGUAAAGCGCAAAACGCGCUGGAGGAGGAGCCUAUGGCCCAUCAGCUUGUUGGCGGGGUAAAAGCCCACCAAGGCAACGACGGGUAUGGGGUGUGAGAGCAUGACCCCACUCACUGGGACUGAGACACUGCCCAGACACCUACGGGUGGCUGCAGUUAAGAAUAUUCCCCAAUGGCCGAAAGGCUGAGGGAGCGACGCCGCGUGCGGGAUGAAGGGCUUCGGCUCGUAAACCGCUUUUAUUUGGGACGAACACUGACGGUACCAAAUGAAUAAGAGGUUGCUAACUCUGUGCCAGCAGCAGCGGUAAUACAGAGACCUCAAACGUUGUCCGGAUUUAUUGGGCGUAAAGGGUCCGCAGGUGGCAUUGUGCGUCGAGGGUCAAAUGUCGGGGCUCAACCCCGUCACUGCCCCCGAUACGGCAAUGCUCGAGGCCGGGAGAGGUGCACGGAAUUGCCGGUGUAGUAGUAAUAUGCGUUAAUAUCGGCAAGAACACCAAAUGCGAAGGCAGUGCACUGGAACGCGCCUGACACUCAGGGACGAAAGCGUGGGGAGCGAAAGGGAUUAGAUACCCUGGUAGUC